AACGAACGCUGGCGGCGUGCCUAACACAUGCAAGUCGUGCGAGAAAGUUCCUUCGGGAGCGAGUAAAGCGGCGCACGGGUGAGUAACACGUAGGUAACCUGCCCCCCAGUCUGGAACAACUAGAGGAAACUCUAGCUAAUGCCGGAUGAGACCACGAUCCCUUCGGGGGUUGCGGCCAAAGAUGGCCUCUACUUGUAAGCUAUCGCUGAGGGAUGGGCCUGCGGGCCAUUAGCUUGUUGGUGAGGUAACGGCUCACCAAGGCUGUGAUGGCUAGCUGGUCUGAGAGGAUGACCAGCCACACUGGGACUGAGGCACGGCCCAGACUCCUACGGGAGGCAGCAGUGGGAAUAUUGCGCAAUGGGCGAAGCCUGACGCAGCGACGCCGCGU
This 388-nucleotide ribosomal RNA is filed under the name uncultured bacterium. RNAcentral's name for it is "bacterial SSU rRNA". It matches the Rfam family "Bacterial small subunit ribosomal RNA", at positions 29 to 402 of the family's 1533-position model. The record is from RNAcentral.